CCCAACUGCCAUACCACCCUGCAUCUCACAACUGGCAGCCCACUGAAGCUCAGCAGGCGUGAGCCUGGUCAGUACCUGGAUGGGAGACCUCCUGGGAAAAACUAAGGUUGCUGCUGGGA
This 119-nucleotide ribosomal RNA is filed under the name Lepisosteus oculatus (spotted gar). Lineage: Eukaryota; Metazoa; Chordata; Actinopteri; Semionotiformes; Lepisosteidae. The record is from RNAcentral.